Long non-coding RNA from Paramisgurnus dabryanus, 511 nucleotides. RefSeq lists it as uncharacterized. The record is from RefSeq and is a predicted model, not a curated record. Lineage: Eukaryota; Metazoa; Chordata; Actinopteri; Cypriniformes; Cobitidae.
UGUGGCAUUCCACCAGCUUUGUCCCAAGUGUAGUUACCAAAGGCAAUGGGAGAGCCAGCCCACUGUUGGUAGCAUGCCGGUCGGAAACCUUCAGUUGUCUGCAGCCACGUAUUUUACCGGAGGAUCAUUCAUCCAAGUACAAAAGAUUUGCAAGGGGAUGCAAUUACAAAUUUUUACGUACGAAACCUUCCGGAGACAUUGCGGAGCUUCCUGGAGCCUGCCAUAAUCCACAAAUGGAAAAGUGAACAACAAAACCUUUUCCAGAAGUUUAGACAGAGUGGAAAGAUUGGCCUCGCCGGAGAUAUGCGUGCAGACUCACCCGGACAUUCAGCCAAAUAUGGUAGUUACACGUUGAUGCACACAGAGAGCAACACCAUUUUGGACACACAACUUGUUCAGAGCAAUGAAGUCGGCGGGAGUUACCAUAUGGAGAAAGAAGGUCUAAAGAGAUGUCUUGAUCAUCUGGAGUCCAGUGGCUUAACAGUCGACUACAUUGUGACUGACCGUCACC